Molecule: non-coding RNA, 28 nt
Filed under: Mus musculus (house mouse)
Lineage: Eukaryota; Metazoa; Chordata; Mammalia; Rodentia; Muridae
Source: RNAcentral
UACUUUCUCCUUUUUAUACAGCCUGGGA